AAUUAAUAUUUUGGUAGAAUGUUUGGGUUUUGUUAGUUUAUUUAUUUAUGAAUUUGUGUGCCUGCAGCUGUAGUGUCUCUGCUGCAAGUCUCAGUAUCCAUUCAUGUUUGUGUGCAUCAGGCAGUCCACUCGUGUACCAGCGAGUCCCCCCUGCAAGCGGCCGCAGAGCCGCUCCUUCGCUCUCCUGGGAAUUCGGGGAGCGGCACACGGCUCUGCGACGAAGCCUUGAUCUUUGUCACUUGGAGGUGGCACCAGGGAGCCUCAGGAGCGGCCGAGGAGUUGCUCCAGGCAGACCCUGCCAGGAGGGCGUGGGCGAAGCGUGCGGCCCGAGGAGCCCGGCGUUCUCAAGAGAAUAAUGCUGAGCACGGGACCACAGCCCGGUGACCAAAGGACAUUCCCUGCAGGCGAGGCAGCCUCCAUUGCCAUGCGACGUGGAUUCUCAUCCCCAGAUGCCGGAGAGAUAAGUGGAGGGCUAAGGCCCACAGAGGGGGUGAAAGCGGGGUGCUGGGAGGGCCUUUAGGAUCAGCUUUUGGGGCAGGGAUGUGCAAGAAGUGUCCCCUUAGGCCAGCUAAAGGCAAAGUGUCUGUUUUGAU
Lonchura striata (white-rumped munia) is the source of this 593-nucleotide non-coding RNA. NCBI's taxonomy places the organism in Eukaryota, Metazoa, Chordata, Aves, Passeriformes, Estrildidae. The record is from RefSeq and is a predicted model, not a curated record.